GAUUUCUGGCACGAUGCGCCUCGCCCGUCCUCGUCAGAGGCACGUGUGCGGGUGUGCGUGUGCCAUCUUUCUAGGCUGGGUCGCUAACCUUCAUUGGAUUGGCGUUCUCAUCUAGAUCUUUUACUUUGAAAAAAUUAGAGUGUUUAAAGCAGGCUUUCGCUAUGAAUACAUUAGCAUGGAAUAAUAAUUUAGGACUUUGUUUCUAUUUUGUUGGUUUCUAGAGGCGAAGUAAUGAUUGAUAGGGAUAGUUGGGGGUGCUAGUAUUCAGCGGCCAGAGGUGAAAUUCUUGGAUUCGCUGAAGACUAACUUAUGCGAAAGCAUU
This 322-nucleotide ribosomal RNA is filed under the name uncultured Rhogostoma. RNAcentral describes it as "SSU rRNA". The stretch from base 63 to 322 matches the Rfam family "Eukaryotic small subunit ribosomal RNA", at positions 694 to 955 of the family's 1831-position model. The record is from RNAcentral. Lineage: Eukaryota; Cercozoa; Thecofilosea; Cryomonadida.